ACCUACGGGACGCAGCAGUGGGGGAUAUUGCACAAUGGGGGAAACCCUGAUGCAGCGACGCCGCGUGAGUGAAGAAGUAUUUCGGUACGUAAAGCUCUAUCAGCAGGGAAGAAAAAUGACGGUACCUGACUAAGAAGCCCCGGCUAACUACGUGCCAGCAGCCGCGGUAAUACGUAGGAUGCGAGCGUUAUCCGGAUUUAUUGGGUUUAAAGGGUGCGCAGGCGGCGAGUUAAGUCAGCGGUAAAAUUUCGGGGCUCAACCCCGACGAGCCGUUGAAACUGGCUUGCUAGAGUGGGCGAGAAGUA
RNAcentral lists this ribosomal RNA (305 nucleotides) under uncultured bacterium. Its description in RNAcentral is "bacterial SSU rRNA". It matches the Rfam family "Bacterial small subunit ribosomal RNA", at positions 337 to 659 of the family's 1533-position model. The record is from RNAcentral.